AGUGAACGCUGGCGGUAGGCCUAACACAUGCAAGUCGAACGGCAGCACAGUAAGAGCUUGCUCUUACGGGUGGCGAGUGGCGGACGGGUGAGGAAUACAUCGGAAUCUACUUUUUCGUGGGGGAUAACGUAGGGAAACUUACGCUAAUACCGCAUACGACCUACGGGUGAAAGCAGGGGAUCUUCGGACUUUGCGCGAUUGAAUGAGCCGAUGUCGGAUUAGCUAGUUGGCGGGGUAAAGGCCCACCAAGGCGACGAUCCGUAGCUGGUCUGAGAGGAUGAUCAGCCACACUGGAACUGAGACACGGUCCAGACUCCUACGGGAGGCAGCAGUGGGGAAUAUUGGACAAUGGGCGCAAGCCUGAUCCAGCCAUACCGCGUGGGUGAAGAAGGCCUUCGGGUUGUAAAGCCCUUUUGUUGGGAAAGAAAAGCAGCAGGUUAAUACCCCGCUGUUCUGACGGUACCCAAAGAAUAAGCACCGGCUAACUUCAUG
RNAcentral lists this ribosomal RNA (492 nucleotides) under uncultured bacterium. Its description in RNAcentral is "partial 16S ribosomal RNA". It matches the Rfam family "Bacterial small subunit ribosomal RNA", at positions 29 to 507 of the family's 1533-position model. The record is from RNAcentral.